Molecule: ribosomal RNA, 325 nt
Filed under: uncultured eukaryote
Lineage: Eukaryota
Description: partial 18S ribosomal RNA
Rfam family: Eukaryotic small subunit ribosomal RNA
Source: RNAcentral
CCCUUAGAUGUUCUGGGCCGCACGCGCGCUACACUGAUGCAUUCAACAAGUUUUACCUUGGCCGAGAGGCCUGGGAAAUCUUUCAAAUAUGUAUCGUGAUAGGGAUAGAUUAUUGCAAUUAUUAAUCUUGAACGAGGAAUUCCUAGUAAAUGCAGAUCAUCAUUCUGCGUUGAUUACGUCCCUGCCCUUUGUACACACCGCCCGUCGCACCUACCGAUUGAAUGAUCCGGUGAAGCCUCGGGAUUGUGCCCAGAGAACUUUAUUGCGAUUUGGGUGUGAGAACUUGUCUAAACCUUAUCAUUUAGAGGAAGGUGAAGUCGUAACA